Long non-coding RNA from Oenanthe melanoleuca, 373 nucleotides. RefSeq lists it as uncharacterized. Lineage: Eukaryota; Metazoa; Chordata; Aves; Passeriformes; Muscicapidae. The transcript is spliced from 4 exons. The record is from RefSeq and is a predicted model, not a curated record.
CAAUGGGUCCCAGCAUGGUGCAGUGCCUCACAGGAGUUUCCCUGAGCUGCUUUGACCUCUCUUACCAUCAGCAAAACUCAUCAAGUGCCAGCAGGGGGGACAGGACAGCUGGAUGGGGAACCACGGAGCAGCAUCUCUGCAGAGCUUCACCAGAGCCAAAUGGGAAUCUUGGACCCUCCCAGCUUGGAUUUGGGGCAGCAGGAGGCAGCUCAGAACAACCUUCCAAGAAGAGACUCCAGGAUUUUCAGCCCAAUAUUUCAAUGCUAUGAGCAGGACCAAGCAGGAUUUCUGCACAAUGACAGGACAUCCUUGCAGGGCUCAGCAACUGACUCAGAGCAGCAAAAAUAUUUGUGUGAUGGGGGAAGGAUGAGGC